Molecule: long non-coding RNA, 291 nt
Filed under: Elaeis guineensis (African oil palm)
Lineage: Eukaryota; Viridiplantae; Streptophyta; Magnoliopsida; Arecales; Arecaceae
Description: long non-coding RNA (EGUI_LNC077028)
Source: RNAcentral
CUUAUCUAAACUUGACUCGUCGCUAUUGCUCCAUAUCACGACUAUUGCCUUCUUCUUGAUUCUUUUGAAGGUCUUCUUCAAUGUUGGAUAGUCGACCUUAAAGUGAUAUGGUCUUUUGCACUUAUAGCACAAGGGUGGCUGCUUUUCCUUUUCUUUCUCUUUUUACCUGCUUGGCUCAUCCUUGGACAAAUUUUUUUUCCUAAAGCCAUGCCUUCUCCUUCCCAUGAACUUCUUAAAUUUUUUGAUCACCAGGGCUAUAUCCUUAUCAUCUUCAUCCUCAGUAGACUGCCC